UACGAGGGGGGCAAGCGUUGUUCGGAAUUAUUGGGCGUAAAGGGCGCGUAGGCGGUGCGGUAAGUCACCUGUGAAACCUCUGGGCUUAACUCAGAGCCUGCAGGCGAAACUGCCGUGCUGGAGUAUGGGAGAGGUGCGUGGAAUUCCCGGUGUAGCGGUGAAAUGCGUAGAUAUCGGUCAGAACACCAGUGGCGAAGGCGGCACUCUGGCCCAGGACUGACGCUGAGACGCGAAAGCGUGGGGAGCGAACGGA
RNAcentral lists this ribosomal RNA (253 nucleotides) under uncultured prokaryote. Its description in RNAcentral is "partial 16S ribosomal RNA". It matches the Rfam family "Bacterial small subunit ribosomal RNA", at positions 524 to 776 of the family's 1533-position model. The record is from RNAcentral.